RNAcentral lists this ribosomal RNA (253 nucleotides) under uncultured bacterium. Its description in RNAcentral is "partial 16S ribosomal RNA". It matches the Rfam family "Bacterial small subunit ribosomal RNA", at positions 524 to 776 of the family's 1533-position model. The record is from RNAcentral.
UACGUAGGGUGCAAGCGUUGUCCGGAAUUAUUGGGCGUAAAGAGCUCGUAGGCGGUUCGUCGCGUCGGCUGUGAAAUCCCGAGGCUCAACCUCGGGUCUGCAGUCGAUACGGGCGGACUGGAGUUCGGCAGGGGAGACUGGAAUUCCUGGUGUAGCGGUGAAAUGCGCAGAUAUCAGGAGGAACACCGGUGGCGAAGGCGGGUCUCUGGGCCGAUACUGACGCUGAGGAGCGAAGGUCAGGGGAGCAAACGGG